This 793-nucleotide ribosomal RNA is filed under the name uncultured Methanosarcina sp. RNAcentral's name for it is "bacterial SSU rRNA". It matches the Rfam family "Archaeal small subunit ribosomal RNA", at positions 88 to 879 of the family's 1478-position model. The record is from RNAcentral. RNAcentral also lists the same sequence under 1 other name. Lineage: Archaea; Methanobacteriati; Methanobacteriota; Methanomicrobia; Methanosarcinales; Methanosarcinaceae.
GCUCAGUAACACGUGGAUAACCUGCCCUUGGGACCGGGAUAACCCCGGGAAACUGGGGAUAAUACCGGAUAACGCAUAUCUGCUGGAAUGCUUUAUGCGUAAAAUGGAUUUGUCUGCCCAAGGAUGGGUCUGCGGCCUAUCAGGUAGUAGUGGGUGUAAUGUACCUACUAGCCUACGACGGGUACGGGUUGUGAGAGCAAGAGCCCGGAGAUGGAUUCUGAGACAUGAAUCCAGGCCCUACGGGGCGCAGCAGGCGCGAAAACUUUACAAUGCGGGAAACCGUGAUAAGGGGACACCGAGUGCCAGCAUCAUAUGUUGGCUGUCCAGAUGUGUAAAAUACAUCUGUUAGCAAGGGCCGGGCAAGACCGGUGCCAGCCGCCGCGGUGACACCGGCGGCCCGAGUGGUGAUCGUGAUUAUUGGGUCUAAAGGGUCCGUAGCCGGUUUGGUCAGUCCUCCGGGAAAUCUGACGGCUCAACCGUUAGGCUUUCGGUGGAUACUGCCAGACUUGGAACCGGGAGAGGUAAGAGGUACUACAGGGGUAGGAGUGAAAUCUUGUAAUCCCUGUGAGACCACCUGUGGCGAAGGCGUCUUACCAGAACGGGUUCGACGGUGAGGGACGAAAGCUGGGGGCACGAACCGGAUUAGAUACCCGGGUAGUCCNAGCCGUAAACGAUGCUCGCUAGGUGUCAGGCAUGGCGCGACCGUGUCUGGUGCCGCAGGGAAGCCGUGAAGCGAGCCACCUGGGAAGUACGGCCGCAAGGCUGAAACUUAAAGGAAUUGGCGGGGGAGCAC